GACGAACGCUGGCGGCGUGCUUAACACAUGCAAGUCGAGCGGUAAGGCCCUUUCGGGGGUACACGAGCGGCGAACGGGUGAGUAACACGUGGGUGACCUGCCCUCAGCUCUGGGAUAAGCCUGGGAAACCGGGUCUAAUACCGGAUAUGACUCCAUGACGCAUGUUGUGGGGUGGAAAGCCUUGUGCGGCUGAGGAUGGGCCCGCGGCCUAUCAGCUUGGUUGGUGGGGGAUGGCCUACCAAGGCGACGACGGGUAGCCGGCCUGAGAGGGCGACCGGCCACACUGGGACUGAGACACGGCCCAGACUCCGUACGGGAGGCAGCAGGUGGGAAUCUUGCGCAAGUGGGACGAAAGCCUGACGC
Molecule: ribosomal RNA, 363 nt
Filed under: uncultured bacterium
Lineage: Bacteria
Description: bacterial SSU rRNA
Rfam family: Bacterial small subunit ribosomal RNA
Source: RNAcentral